Molecule: ribosomal RNA, 253 nt
Filed under: uncultured bacterium
Lineage: Bacteria
Description: partial 16S ribosomal RNA
Rfam family: Bacterial small subunit ribosomal RNA
Source: RNAcentral
UACGUAGGGUGCAGGCGUUGUCCGGAUUUACUGGGCGUAAAGCGUGCGUAGGCGGUUCGUUAUGUCUGCUGUGAAAGCCCCGGGCUUAACCUGGGAAUGGCAGUGGAAACUGGCGGGCUUGAGUGUGGCAGAGGGGGGUGGAAUUCCGCGUGUAGCAGUGAAAUGCGUAGAGAUGCGGAGGAACACCGAUGGCGAAGGCAGCCCCCUGGGCUGACACUGACGCUGAGGCACGAAAGCGUGGGGAGCAAACAGG